Molecule: long non-coding RNA, 3105 nt
Organism: Cavia porcellus (domestic guinea pig)
Lineage: Eukaryota; Metazoa; Chordata; Mammalia; Rodentia; Caviidae
Exons: 3
Source: RefSeq, a predicted model, not a curated record
CUGCCCCAGCACUCUCUGCCCUGCUGGGCUGCUUCUUAUAUUUUCCCGUCAUCCUUAGAACCUGCGGCCUUCCUUCCUACCUGGUCUCUUUGCUCACCUUCUUUGCCCGGAACUGCACUGUUCUUCCCCUUUGGGUUUUGUACAUCUUCAGUCCUUACGGCGGUAGCUCCCUUAAUACCUCUGCUAUGAGUCUUCACUGAUUUCUCUCUUCUUGAACGGUAAGCAGAGUGGUCUGUUUGGCUCCCUUUUCCUUCUGUGAUUAUAUCAUUAAUGCUGCUGCAGUGGUGCAUACUGGCCUGGAUGAAUCUCUUCAGUAACUUCCUUCCUGGGGCUGAUUAGUUGUCUCCUUAACCAAACGGUGGCUGGAAACAGUGGUUGGAACCGUUCUAAUGUCUAGAGCAGCACAUCAGUGCCAACCACAGCUCCAUUUCUGCAGAGGCUCCUGGCUGGGGUUGUCCUGACGCUUUGGCCUGAGCUUGGCACCUCCUGUCUGCAUCUGACUCACCAAGGUCCCUACUCAGAGGCCGGGAGCUGGGGCUGCUGCAGCUCCUGCCUGGCAGGCAGCUCUGCGUGGGACCCUCGCGAGCCUGGACCUGCAGGAGCUCGAUGCUGCGAGGCCAUGGACAGUGUCAACCAGGGCGAGGAAAGUGGGAGCAGGAGGAAACCAGGAGAGGCACGUCCCCUCUGUCUUCCUGCGGACCCUGCUUCCGUGGGCUCCUGUGUGGAGGCCAUAAGCAGUGGAGUGAGAGUUCUGCCAGGCACAGGCUGUGCUUCUUCAGACCCUGUGAAGCAGGUGCCAGCCCAGGGCACUGCCUCCUUCCUCUCCUGCUGCAUUCCCGCCUUUCCCCCUCUCUGACUCCCCUGGCACCGACUGCCUCAGACAGAUCCUCAGAGCCUCAUCCCCUCUGAGGCUGUUUCUCCCUAGGGAAUCUUAGUGCACGCCCCUGCGGGAGACUGUAAACCCCUGGAAAGCAGGAAUUAUGUCGCUGCUUUCAGUUUACCUCUCCCAGUACCUGACAUAACAUAACCCAAAAGGCCCAAGUCCCAGGAACAGACUUCCCCAUAAAAAUAGGGGGAAUCACAGAAUAGAAAUGUUCUGCAAAGUCUUCUUCAAAUAUGAUUAUUAUUCAGUCUUGAUUCUUAGCAGCUAAUAUUUAAAAUAGUCUCUUGUAUAUUAAAUAUAAUUCAUAAUUUGAAUCAGGGAGAAAGUAAGAAAAAGAAAGUUUUAACUAAGAAGGUAGUUAAAAAUUCUAGGCGUGUCUUUUUGGUAUUUUGUCAUUUUGUUAUCAUUAUCAGCAUGAUCAUAGUCUUUAUUAAAAAAUGAACCUGGCAAUCUGUACAAUGUAUUUAAAUGUCUUAGGAUUUGGCAGUCUCUGAAACGUGAAGGAUAAGCAAAUAUCAAGUCGUAAAUAUCUAAGCACUUUGCACAGGAAAUAAAGGCAGAAAGCCCAUUUCUCCCAUAAAAGGAAGCCACGCAAAGUCAGUUUGGGAAUAAAGCGAAUCUCAGAACCUUCUGCUGAAUCUGUAAUACAUUCAUCUCUUUUAACUUUGAGUCCAGUACUUAGCUCAAAUAGAGGACUUUUAAGUAUUUCCCGCAUUGGAUUAGUGGUGGUAAGAGAAACUCUGUUCUCCAGGUAGGAGAAGAUUGUAAAUCAGGGUCGCUGUGACUGAGACUCUGUCUCAAUCACAGAUGCUUGGUGUCUGAGGCUGUAAACUCAAGCAUGCUCCAUUCAAGUUUGAGCAUGAAUUAAACUGUGCAUGUUCUAGGAAUUUAUGCCUCAACCAAACAGUGAGCCUACCCUUUUACCUUUCAUUCCCAGCUUUAUUCCCAAGGAUUGUUUAUGUGCAUUGAGGGAAGGGUCCAGAGAAACAGCCAGUGAUAAUAUUGUGUGUCAAGAAAAGAACAGCACUUAGGGGGCUGGGGAUUUAGCUCUGCGGCAUAAGCGCCUGCCUUGCGAGCGUGUGGUCGUGAGUUCGGUCCCUGGCUGAAUAGAAAAUGUGCCUAAUUUUAAGAGUCCUAAGGUUAAGCAUUUCAGGAACUGUGACCUCAAGAAAAAACUGAGGUCAGAGUGGUACAGAUGGGAAUUAAGGGAAAGGAGGAUCAAUUUUUAUUAAGUCAGAAACUUUGCACAUGUUAUUCUCCUCCUCCUCCUUCCUUCUUAUGUUUACUGUGCUGGGGAUUGAAUCCAGGGUCUUUUGCAUGCUUGGCAAGCACUUUACUACUGAGCUUGCCCCAGCCUCUCUCACUGCUUCGAUGACAGUCUGUCUUCCUGAGUAGGUACGAUUAUUCCCGUGCAGAGCUUGAGGCUCUGAUAGUUUUGAUGGACUGAAGUCCCUGGCCUGCUGAUUGUGUCAAGCAGUGUGGAAGGGCUGGAGGUUCUUCAGUCUCUCGAUAGAUGCUUGGUUGUAAUCCAUGAGGCGUUGGUGACUGGGCCAGCCUUUCAGUUUUAUCAUCUGGUGUAAAGUGGAAUGGCUUGGCUGUCCCAGGAGAGGCAGGUGUUGGGGCGGUGGACUGGGAUACUUCAUUAGUCAGGGUUCUCCAGAGGAGCAGAAAAAUAAAUGAAGUGUCCUCGAUCCGGCAAUGUCUGUAUUACCGAGGUGAGUGGCAGACUGUUAGUGUCUUCAGAUGAUCCUGAGUUUAGCAAUGAAACCAGCUCCAGCCUAAGAAGAAGACGAUGCCCGAAGUCAUCCCUUCCGGUUCUGCCUUUUGUUUUAUUUUUUAUUUUGGAGGUAUACAACAGAACAAGACAGAACAAAGCCAAUCAAGACAAAGCAGUGAAACUGGUACAGAACUUCACAGCAGGUUACCGGGAUAACAGUAAUAGGAACGGCUGAUGUUGUGCAGAAAUUUCCUUUCUUGGGUUUCCUGAGCUCACGGGUCACAUUGCUUUUACACUGGGAUCUCUACCUGGCUCAGUAACCAAGGCAACAAAUCCCCAGUUAAUGACUGGCUAGAAAUUCGCUGUGGAGGAGGCUUAUUAGUUUGUUUUCUCCCAAGAGCUGGGAUAAAAGUGUGCUUGUGAUUUUUUCUUCAUCUAUUCCUCCUUCUAUCUUCCUUGCAAUUCAGACACCCUAAAGUCAAUUUAAUUAAAAUCAAUAGGUGAA